UAGUGGCAGACGGGUGAGUAAUGUAUAGGAAUCUACCUAGUAGUACGGAAUAAUUGUUGGAAACGGCAACUAAUACCGUAUACGCCCUACGGGGGAAAAAUUUAUUGCUAUUAGAUGAGCCUAUAUUAGAUUAGCUUGUUGGUGGGGUAAUGGCCUACCAAGGCAAUGAUCUAUAGCUGAUCUGAGAGGAUGAUCAGCCACACUGGAACUGAGAUACGGUCCAGACUCCUACGGGAGGCAGCAGUGGGGAAUAUUGGACAAUGGGCGAAAGCCUGAUCCAGCCAUGCCGCAUGAGUGAAGAAGGCCUUUGGGUUGUAAAGCUCUUUUAGUGAGGAAGAUAAUGACGGUACUCACAGAAGAAGUCCUGGCUAACUCCGUGCCAGCAGCCGCGGUAAUACGGAGAGGGCUAGCGUUAUUCGGAAUUAUUGGGCGUAAAGGGCGCGUAGGCGGGUUAGUAAGUUAAAAGUGAAAUCCCAAGGCUCAACCUUGGAAUUGCUUUUAAAACUGCUAACCUAGAGAUUGAAAGAGGAUAGAGGAAUUCCUAGUGUAGAGGUGAAAUUCGUAAAUAUUAGGAGGAACACCAGUGGCGAAGGCGUCUAUCUGGUUCAAAUCUGACGCUGAUGCGCGAAGGCGUGGGGAGCAAACAGGAUUAGAUACCCUGGUAGUCCACGCUGUAAACGAUGAAUGUUAAAUAUGGGAAGUUUACUUUCUGUAUUACAGCUAACGCGUUAAACAUUCCGCCUGGGGACUACGGUCGCAAGAUUAAAACUCAAAAGAAUUGACGGGGACCCGCACAAGCGGUGGAGCAUGUGGUUUAAUUCGAUGCAACGCGAAAAACCUUACCACUUCUUG
RNAcentral lists this ribosomal RNA (852 nucleotides) under Wolbachia endosymbiont of Linyphia triangularis. Its description in RNAcentral is "bacterial SSU rRNA". It matches the Rfam family "Bacterial small subunit ribosomal RNA", at positions 93 to 983 of the family's 1533-position model. The record is from RNAcentral. Lineage: Bacteria; Pseudomonadati; Pseudomonadota; Alphaproteobacteria; Rickettsiales; Anaplasmataceae.